RNAcentral lists this ribosomal RNA (2498 nucleotides) under human gut metagenome. RNAcentral describes it as "bacterial LSU rRNA". It matches the Rfam family "Bacterial large subunit ribosomal RNA", at positions 1 to 2524 of the family's 2925-position model. The record is from RNAcentral.
UUAAGCGACUAAGCGUACACGGUGGAUGCCCUGGCAGUCAGAGGCGAUGAAGGACGUGCUAAUCUGCGAUAAGCGUCGGUAAGGUGAUAUGAACCGUUAUAACCGGCGAUUUCCGAAUGGGGAAACCCAGUGUGAUUCGUCACACUAUCAUUAACUGAAUCCAUAGGUUAAUGAGGCGAACCGGGGGAACUGAAACAUCUAAGUACCCCGAGGAAAAGAAAUCAACCGAGAUUCCCCCAGUAGCGGCGAGCGAACGGGGAGGAGCCCAGAGCCUGAAUCAGUGUGUGUGUUAGUGGAAGCGUCUGGAAAGGCGCGCGAUACAGGGUGACAGCCCCGUACACAAAAAUGCACAUGCUGUGAGCUCGAUGAGUAGGGCGGGACACGUGGUAUCCUGUCUGAAUAUGGGGGGACCAUCCUCCAAGGCUAAAUACUCCUGACUGACCGAUAGUGAACCAGUACCGUGAGGGAAAGGCGAAAAGAACCCCGGCGAGGGGAGUGAAAAAGAACCUGAAACCGUGUACGUACAAGCAGUGGGAGCACAGAGCAAUCUGUGUGACUGCGUACCUUUUGUAUAAUGGGUCAGCGACUUAUAUUCUGUAGCAAGGUUAACCGAAUAGGGGAGCCGAAGGGAAACCGAGUCUUAACUGGGCGUUAAGUUGCAGGGUAUAGACCCGAAACCCGGUGAUCUAGCCAUGGGCAGGUUGAAGGUUGGGUAACACUAACUGGAGGACCGAACCGACUAAUGUUGAAAAAUUAGCGGAUGACUUGUGGCUGGGGGUGAAAGGCCAAUCAAACCGGGAGAUAGCUGGUUCUCCCCGAAAGCUAUUUAGGUAGCGCCUCGUGAAUUCAUCUCCGGGGGUAGAGCACUGUUUCGGCAAGGGGGUCAUCCCGACUUACCAACCCGAUGCAAACUGCGAAUACCGGAGAAUGUUAUCACGGGAGACACACGGCGGGUGCUAACGUCCGUCGUGAAGAGGGAAACAACCCAGACCGCCAGCUAAGGUCCCAAAGUCAUGGUUAAGUGGGAAACGAUGUGGGAAGGCCCAGACAGCCAGGAUGUUGGCUUAGAAGCAGCCAUCAUUUAAAGAAAGCGUAAUAGCUCACUGGUCGAGUCGGCCUGCGCGGAAGAUGUAACGGGGCUAAACCAUGCACCGAAGCUGCGGCAGCGACGCUUAUGCGUUGUUGGGUAGGGGAGCGUUCUGUAAGCCUGCGAAGGUGUGCUGUGAGGCAUGCUGGAGGUAUCAGAAGUGCGAAUGCUGACAUAAGUAACGAUAAAGCGGGUGAAAAGCCCGCUCGCCGGAAGACCAAGGGUUCCUGUCCAACGUUAAUCGGGGCAGGGUGAGUCGACCCCUAAGGCGAGGCCGAAAGGCGUAGUCGAUGGGAAACAGGUUAAUAUUCCUGUACUUGGUGUUACUGCGAAGGGGGGACGGAGAAGGCUAUGUUGGCCGGGCGACGGUUGUCCCGGUUUAAGCGUGUAGGCUGGUUUUCCAGGCAAAUCCGGAAAACUAAGGCUGAGGCGUGAUGACGAGGCACUACGGUGCUGAAGCAACAAAUGCCCUGCUUCCAGGAAAAGCCUCUAAGCAUCAGGUAACAUCAAAUCGUACCCCAAACCGACACAGGUGGUCAGGUAGAGAAUACCAAGGCGCUUGAGAGAACUCGGGUGAAGGAACUAGGCAAAAUGGUGCCGUAACUUCGGGAGAAGGCACGCUGAUAUGUAGGUGAAGUCCCUCGCGGAUGGAGCUGAAAUCAGUCGAAGAUACCAGCUGGCUGCAACUGUUUAUUAAAAACACAGCACUGUGCAAACACGAAAGUGGACGUAUACGGUGUGACGCCUGCCCGGUGCCGGAAGGUUAAUUGAUGGGGUCAGCGCAAGCGAAGCUCUUGAUCGAAGCCCCGGUAAACGGCGGCCGUAACUAUAACGGUCCUAAGGUAGCGAAAUUCCUUGUCGGGUAAGUUCCGACCUGCACGAAUGGCGUAAUGAUGGCCAGGCUGUCUCCACCCGAGACUCAGUGAAAUUGAACUCGCUGUGAAGAUGCAGUGUACCCGCGGCAAGACGGAAAGACCCCGUGAACCUUUACUAUAGCUUGACACUGAACAUUGAGCCUUGAUGUGUAGGAUAGGUGGGAGGCUUUGAAGUGUGGACGCCAGUCUGCAUGGAGCCGACCUUGAAAUACCACCCUUUAAUGUUUGAUGUUCUAACGUUGACCCGUAAUCCGGGUUGCGGACAGUGUCUGGUGGGUAGUUUGACUGGGGCGGUCUCCUCCUAAAGAGUAACGGAGGAGCACGAAGGUUGGCUAAUCCUGGUCGGACAUCAGGAGGUUAGUGCAAUGGCAUAAGCCAGCUUGACUGCGAGCGUGACGGCGCGAGCAGGUGCGAAAGCAGGUCAUAGUGAUCCGGUGGUUCUGAAUGGAAGGGCCAUCGCUCAACGGAUAAAAGGUACUCCGGGGAUAACAGGCUGAUACCGCCCAAGAGUUCAUAUCGACGGCGGUGUUUGGCAC